UUAAGUAGUUGAUACAAAGGCGA
This 23-nucleotide microRNA is filed under the name Drosophila mojavensis. Its description in RNAcentral is "Dmo-Mir-252-P1b_5p (mature (co-guide))". Lineage: Eukaryota; Metazoa; Arthropoda; Insecta; Diptera; Drosophilidae. The record is from RNAcentral.